RNAcentral lists this ribosomal RNA (456 nucleotides) under Triticum aestivum (bread wheat). RNAcentral describes it as "partial small subunit ribosomal RNA". The record is from RNAcentral. Lineage: Eukaryota; Viridiplantae; Streptophyta; Magnoliopsida; Poales; Poaceae.
AUGCGUCCUCCAAGAGUGUGGGUUGAUGAUCGUCGCAAGUUUCUGGUCUUUCUCAAGAAGUAUGUCUUCGGGCCGGUGGAGAGUCAAUACAUGAUUAAGUUUACUAGGUAUACAACUGUUGCGUGGUGGGAGGGUCUAGAAGCAGAAUUUCCUUUCUGCACCUAUGCCCUGACUCCAAUUAAUCAGCUCCCAAGGCCUACAAACACGCUUGAGCGUUUCACGGAUGUGGUUGGGAUUAUCCCAGGUUUCUUUUCUUUCAUGUUGGAAUCGGUGAGAAUACCAUGCCGGCACUCCUCGUAUUCUCUCCACUAUGUUUGGCUAAGGUUGCAAAGGUGGGUACAAGGAGAUGAGUCUCGUGGCAGUGAGCGGAACGGAGACAAGAAUGGCGACUUGAUGCUUCUCGAAGACCUCCUCUGGAGGUGGUGGCCAAAGGCAAAUGGUACAAAACCUCCAUGA